This 467-nucleotide ribosomal RNA is filed under the name uncultured bacterium. RNAcentral describes it as "partial 16S ribosomal RNA". It matches the Rfam family "Bacterial small subunit ribosomal RNA", at positions 28 to 506 of the family's 1533-position model. The record is from RNAcentral.
GACGAACGCUGGCGGCGUGCUUAACACAUGCCAGUCGAACGGAAAGGCCCUGCUUUUGUGGGGUGCUCGAGUGGCGAACGGGUGAGUAACACGUGAGUAACCUGCCCUUGACUUUGGGAUAACUUCAGGAAACUGGGGCUAAUACCGGAUAGGAGCUCCUGCUGCAUGGUGGGGGUUGGAAAGUUUCGGCGGUUGGGGAUGGACUCGCGGCUUAUCAGCUUGUUGGUGGGGUAGUGGCUUACCAAGGCUUUGACGGGUAGCCGGCCUGAGAGGGUGACCGGCCACAUGGGAACUGGGAUACGGCCCAGACUCUUACGGGAGGAAGCAGUGGGGAAUAUGGCACAUGGGGCGGAAGCUUGAGGCAGAAACGCCGCGUGCGGGAUGACGGCCUUCGGGUUGUAAACCGCUUUCGCCUGUGACGAGGCGUGAGUGGCGGUAAUGGGUAAAGAAGCACCGGCUAACUACGU